Molecule: ribosomal RNA, 253 nt
Filed under: uncultured bacterium
Lineage: Bacteria
Description: partial 16S ribosomal RNA
Rfam family: Bacterial small subunit ribosomal RNA
Source: RNAcentral
GACGUAGGAUGCGAGCGUUGUCCGGAUUUAUUGGGCGUAAAGAGUUCGUAGGCGGUUUGUUAAGUCUGAUGUUAAAAACUGAGGCUCAACCUCGGGACUGCAUUGGAUACUGGCAAGCUGGAGUACAGUAGAGGCAAGUGGAAUUUCCAGUGUAGCGGUGAAAUGCGUAGAUAUUGGGAAGAACACCAGUGGCGUAAGCGACUUGCUGGGCUGUAACUGACGCUGAGGAACGAAAGCCAGGGGAGCGAAUGGG